GCCCAGAUACGCCAAUCGGAAGAGCGGCUCGGUUUAAACCCGAGCGAUUGUGAGUUCGAAUCUCACUCUGGGUA
Molecule: transfer RNA, 74 nt
Filed under: Symmachiella macrocystis
Lineage: Bacteria; Pseudomonadati; Planctomycetota; Planctomycetia; Planctomycetales; Planctomycetaceae
Description: Planctomycetes bacterium CA54 tRNA-Leu
Rfam family: tRNA
About the family: Transfer RNA (tRNA) molecules are approximately 80 nucleotides in length. Their secondary structure includes four short double-helical elements and three loops (D, anti-codon, and T loops).
Source: RNAcentral